CCUACGGGUGGCAGCAGUGAGGAAUAUUGGUCAAUGGACGAGAGUCUGAACCAGCCAAGUAGCGUGAAGGAUGACUGCCCUAUGGGUUGUAAACUUCUUUUAUAUGGGAAUAAAAUGUUCCACGUGUGGGAUUUUGUAUGUACCAUAUGAAUAAGGAUCGGCUAACUCCGUGCCAGCAGCCGCGGUAAUACGGAGGAUCCGAGCGUUAUCCGGAUUUAUUGGGUUUAAAGGGAGCGUAGGUGGAUUGUUAAGUCAGUUGUGAAAGUUUGCGGCUCAACCGUAAAAUUGCAGUUGAAACUGGCAGUCUUGGGUACAGUAGAGGUGGGCGGAAUUCGUGGUGUAGCGGUGAAAUGCUUAGAUAUCACGAAGAACUCCGAUUGCGAAGGCAGUUCACUGGACUGCAACUGACACUGAGGCUCGAAAGUGUGGGUAUCAAACAGGAUUAGAUACCCUAGUAGUC
RNAcentral lists this ribosomal RNA (460 nucleotides) under uncultured bacterium. Its description in RNAcentral is "partial 16S ribosomal RNA". It matches the Rfam family "Bacterial small subunit ribosomal RNA", at positions 338 to 795 of the family's 1533-position model. The record is from RNAcentral.